Molecule: unclassified non-coding RNA, 367 nt
Filed under: Hevea brasiliensis (rubber tree)
Lineage: Eukaryota; Viridiplantae; Streptophyta; Magnoliopsida; Malpighiales; Euphorbiaceae
Source: RNAcentral
AAAAAAAAAAAAAAAACUUGAAGAUAUCUUGUUAAUAUGUUCAUCCUCUACUCUGUUCUUGUCUGGUUGGAUAAUAUGCCUUGCAUUCUAUGUGCUGUACGGACUACUAUUGAAUGAAAAAUGGUAGUUCAGAAAAAUUUGGGGCUUGAGGAGAAUCUUCUUGGAUCAGUCCUUUUUAGUGAAGUUGGAUUAGUGAAAUCCUCUUGACGUUCAGGUGCUUGCAUUGCUCAUAUAGUCAGAAAUUUCCAGUUAUGGUUCUUUACAUUUGCUUGUCUCUGUGCAUAGAGGAAUAUUCUCAUGGAGUAAAAUGCCAUUACUUCUUAUGAAUUAUCCCAAUUGAAUUAUGUGCCCUUGGCGUUGUGUUUUG